This 75-nucleotide transfer RNA is filed under the name Staphylococcus pseudintermedius. RNAcentral describes it as "tRNA-Lys". Lineage: Bacteria; Bacillati; Bacillota; Bacilli; Caryophanales; Staphylococcaceae. The record is from RNAcentral.
GAGCCAUUAGCUCAGUUGGUAGAGAGCAUCUGACUUUGUCAGAGGGUCAGAGGUUCGAGGCUCCUCUAUGGCUCA